Peromyscus californicus insignis is the source of this 722-nucleotide long non-coding RNA. RefSeq lists it as uncharacterized. Lineage: Eukaryota; Metazoa; Chordata; Mammalia; Rodentia; Cricetidae. The transcript has 2 exons. The record is from RefSeq and is a predicted model, not a curated record.
UUUCUUUGUCUCUCCCCCCCCCCCCCCCACAAUAAAGCUCUAAAAAGGUAACCAUGGCUAAGAUUCUUUCAAUCAGCACGCUCCUCCGCGGGCACGCUCCUCCGCGGGCAUGGCCGCCGCGGGCGGUGACCAGCCAUGAGGGGCAGCUCGGCGGCAUAACCAACAAUGGUGCCGUGACUCGGAUACACCACCGAACACCGAGGACCUGCUGACUGCUGCUGCUUGCCGCCUCUUCCCCCAUCCAGCGAGACCGCGAGCGCGCGCGCGUCCCUCGCCGCCUCCGCUGGACCCCACACCGCCACCGCCAUGAUUCUUCACCACAUUUCCUGUUCUAACUCACUGUUCAGCUAAUGGUACAGGACCACCACAGAACCGGAGACCAGAGAUCAUCAAAUAAAAAACUGCAACAGCUAAAAGGUAUUUACACCCCCAGACCCAAAAGCGUCUGGGCGCUACAAAAAGACUUUAAUGUAAACAUCUAUUACUAUGAGAUGCUUUUAACAAUUGAUCUCCUGUCUCCUAGAUGCUGAACCAGUAAAGGAAACAGGUACUUUAAAAUAAUCUGUCUCUGAUAAAGCUUAACAUGUUUCAAAAUCCAUAGGGACAGGCCAGAUCUACCUCAGAUAAAUGUCAACAUAAAAUAAUAAUGAUUCUUUUCUCUCUCUAAGUUUUUUCUGUGUCACCAGCAUCUUGUCAAACAGAAAGUUCCCAGCCACAGCCAA